Molecule: ribosomal RNA, 270 nt
Filed under: uncultured bacterium
Lineage: Bacteria
Description: partial 16S ribosomal RNA
Rfam family: Bacterial small subunit ribosomal RNA
Source: RNAcentral
AACGAACGCUGGCGGCAUGCCUAACACAUGCAAGUCGAACGCGUGGUUUCGGCCACGAGUGGCGCACGGGUGAGUAGCGCGUGGGAACCUGCCCUUUGGUUCGGGAUAACCGCGGGAAACUGCGGCUAAUACCGGAUACUCCCUUAGGGGGAAAGAUUUAUCGCCGAAGGAGGGGCCCGCGUCCGAUUAGGUAGUUGGUGAGGUAACGGCUCACCAAGCCUGUGAUCGGUAGCUGGUCUGAGAGGAUGAUCAGCCACACUGGGACUGAGA